Molecule: ribosomal RNA, 478 nt
Filed under: uncultured bacterium
Lineage: Bacteria
Description: partial 16S ribosomal RNA
Rfam family: Bacterial small subunit ribosomal RNA
Source: RNAcentral
GAUGAACGCUGGCGGCGUGCUUAACACAUGCAAGUCGAACGGGAAUUCUUUUAUUGAAACUUCGGUCGAUUUAAUUUAAUUCUAGUGGCGGACGGGUGAGUAACGCGUGGGUAACCUGCCUUAUACAGGGGGAUAACAGUCAGAAAUGGCUGCUAAUACCGCAUAAGCGCACAGAGCUGCAUGGCUCAGUGUGAAAAACUCCGGUGGUAUAAGAUGGACCCGCGUUGGAUUAGCUGGUUGGUGGGGUAACGGCCCACCAAGGCGACGAUCCAUAGCCGGCCUGAGAGGGUGAACGGCCACAUUGGGACUGAGACACGGCCCAGACUCCUACGGGAGGCAGCAGUGGGGAAUAUUGCACAAUGGGGAAAACCCUGAUGCAGCGACGCCGCGUGAAGGAAGAAGUAUCUCGGUAUGUAAACUUCUAUCAGCAGGGAAGAUAGUGACGGUACCUGACUAAGAAGCCCCGGCUAACUACGUG